UACGUAGGGGGCGAGCGUUAUCCGGAAUUACUGGGUGUAAAGGGAGCGUAGACGGCGAGGUAAGCCUGAAGUAGAAGCCCGCGGCCCAACCGCGGAACUGCUUUGGGAACUGUUUUGCUGGAGUAUGGGAGGGGUAAGCGGAAUUCCUGGUGUAGCGGUGAAAUGCGUAGAUAUCAGGAGGAACACCGGUGGCGAAGGCGGCUUACUGGACCAUAACUGACGUUGAGGCUCGAAAGCGUGGGGAGCGAACAGG
This 253-nucleotide ribosomal RNA is filed under the name uncultured bacterium. RNAcentral describes it as "partial 16S ribosomal RNA". It matches the Rfam family "Bacterial small subunit ribosomal RNA", at positions 524 to 776 of the family's 1533-position model. The record is from RNAcentral.